Molecule: ribosomal RNA, 501 nt
Filed under: uncultured bacterium
Lineage: Bacteria
Description: partial 16S ribosomal RNA
Rfam family: Bacterial small subunit ribosomal RNA
Source: RNAcentral
AUUGAACGCUGGCGGCAGGCUUAACACAUGCAAGUCGAGCGGGGGAAGGUAGCUUGCUACCGGACCUAGCGGCGGACGGGUGAGUAAUGCUUAGGAAUCUGCCUAUUAGUGGGGGACAACAUCUCGAAAGGGAUGCUAAUACCGCAUACGUCCUACGGGAGAAAGCAGGGGAUCUGCGGACCUUGCGCUAAUAGAUGAGCCUAAGUCGGAUUAGCUAGUUGGUGGGGUAAAGGCCUACCAAGGCGACGAUCUGUAGCGGGUCUGAGAGGAUGAUCCGCCACACUGGGACGGAGACACGGCCCAGACUCCUACGGGAGGCAGCAGUGGGGAAUAUUGGACAAUGGGGGGAACCCUGAUCCAGCCAUGCCGCGUGUGUGAAGAAGGCCUUAUGGUUGUAAAGCACUUUAAGCGAGGAGGAGGCUACUUUAGUUAAUACCUAGAGAUAGUGGACGUUACUCGCAGAAUAAGCACCGGCUAACUCUGUGCCAGCCGCCGCAGUAA